RNAcentral lists this ribosomal RNA (2812 nucleotides) under Klebsiella pneumoniae. RNAcentral describes it as "23S ribosomal RNA". It matches the Rfam family "Bacterial large subunit ribosomal RNA". The record is from RNAcentral. Lineage: Bacteria; Pseudomonadati; Pseudomonadota; Gammaproteobacteria; Enterobacterales; Enterobacteriaceae.
UUAAGCGACUAAGCGUACACGGUGGAUGCCCUGGCAGUCAGAGGCGAUGAAGGACGUGCUAAUCUGCGAAAAGCGUCGGUAAGGUGAUAUGAACCGUUANCCGGCGAUGUCCGAAUGGGGAAACCCAGUGCAAUUCGUUGCACUAUCGUUAACUGAAUACAUAGGUUAACGAGGCGAACCGGGGGAACUGAAACAUCUAAGUACCCCGAGGAAAAGAAAUCAACCGAGAUUCCCCCAGUAGCGGCGAGCGAACGGGGAGCAGCCCAGAGUCUGAAUCAGCUUGUGUGUUAGUGGAACGGUCUGGAAAGUCCGACGGUACAGGGUGAUAGUCCCGUACACCAAAAUGCACAGGUUGUGAACUCGAAGAGUAGGGCGGGACACGUGGUAUCCUGUCUGAAUAUGGGGGGACCAUCCUCCAAGGCUAAAUACUCCUGACUGACCGAUAGUGAACCAGUACCGUGAGGGAAAGGCGAAAAGAACCCCGGCGAGGGGAGUGAAAAAGAACCUGAAACCGUGUACGUACAAGCAGUGGGAGCACCUUCGGGUGUGACUGCGUACCUUUUGUAUAAUGGGUCAGCGACUUAUAUUCUGUAGCAAGGUUAACCGUAUAGGGGAGCCGCAGGGAAACCGAGUCUUAACUGGGCGUUAAGUUGCAGGGUAUAGACCCGAAACCCGGUGAUCUAGCCAUGGGCAGGUUGAAGGUUGGGUAACACUAACUGGAGGACCGAACCGACUAAUGUUGAAAAAUUAGCGGAUGACUUGUGGCUGGGGGUGAAAGGCCAAUCAAACCGGGAGAUAGCUGGUUCUCCCCGAAAGCUAUUUAGGUAGCGCCUCGUGAACUCAUCUUCGGGGGUAGAGCACUGUUUCGGCUAGGGGGUCAUCCCGACUUACCAACCCGAUGCAAACUACGAAUACCGAAGAAUGUUAUCACGGGAGACACACGGCGGGUGCUAACGUCCGUCGUGAAGAGGGAAACAACCCAGACCGCCAGCUAAGGUCCCAAAGUCAUGGUUAAGUGGGAAACGAUGUGGGAAGGCACAGACAGCCAGGAUGUUGGCUUAGAAGCAGCCAUCAUUUAAAGAAAGCGUAAUAGCUCACUGGUCGAGUCGGCCUGCGCGGAAGAUGUAACGGGGCUAAACCAUGCACCGAAGCUGCGGCAGCGACACUAUGUGUUGUUGGGUAGGGGAGCGUUCUGUAAGCCUGCGAAGGUGUGCUGUGAGGCAUGCUGGAGGUAUCAGAAGUGCGAAUGCUGACAUAAGUAACGAUAAAGCGGGUGAAAAGCCCGCUCGCCGGAAGACCAAGGGUUCCUGUCCAACGUUAAUCGGGGCAGGGUGAGUCGACCCCUAAGGCGAGGCCGAAAGGCGUAGUCGAUGGGAAACAGGUUAAUAUUCCUGUACUUGGUGUUACUGCGAAGGGGGGACGGAGAAGGCUAUGUUAGCCGGGCGACGGUUGUCCCGGUUUAAGCAUGUAGGCUGGUUAUCCAGGCAAAUCCGGAUAAUCAAGGCUGAGGUGUGAUGACGAGGCACUACGGUGCUGAAGUAACAAAUGCCCUGCUUCCAGGAAAAGCCUCUAAGCAUCAGGUAACAUCAAAUCGUACCCCAAACCGACACAGGUGGUCAGGUAGAGAAUACCAAGGCGCUUGAGAGAACUCGGGUGAAGGAACUAGGCAAAAUGGUGCCGUAACUUCGGGAGAAGGCACGCUGGUGUGUAGGUGAAGUCCCUGCGGAUGGAGCUGAGACCAGUCGAAGAUACCAGCUGGCUGCAACUGUUUAUUAAAAACACAGCACUGUGCAAACACGAAAGUGGACGUAUACGGUGUGACGCCUGCCCGGUGCCGGAAGGUUAAUUGAUGGGGUUAUCCGUAAGGAGAAGCUCUUGAUCGAAGCCCCGGUAAACGGCGGCCGUAACUAUAACGGUCCUAAGGUAGCGAAAUUCCUUGUCGGGUAAGUUCCGACCUGCACGAAUGGCGUAAUGAUGGCCAGGCUGUCUCCACCCGAGACUCAGUGAAAUUGAACUCGCUGUGAAGAUGCAGUGUACCCGCGGCAAGACGGAAAGACCCCGUGAACCUUUACUAUAGCUUGACACUGAACAUUGAGCCUUGAUGUGUAGGAUAGGUGGGAGGCUUUGAAGCGUGGACGCCAGUCUGCGUGGAGCCAACCUUGAAAUACCACCCUUUAAUGUUUGAUGUUCUAACGUUGGCCCCUGACCGGGGUUGCGGACAGUGUCUGGUGGGUAGUUUGACUGGGGCGGUCUCCUCCCAAAGCGUAACGGAGGAGCACGAAGGUUAGCUAAUCCUGGUCGGACAUCAGGAGGUUAGUGCAAUGGCAUAAGCUAGCUUGACUGCGAGCGUGACGGCGCGAGCAGGUGCGAAAGCAGGUCAUAGUGAUCCGGUGGUUCUGAAUGGAAGGGCCAUCGCUCAACGGAUAAAAGGUACUCCGGGGAUAACAGGCUGAUACCGCCCAAGAGUUCAUAUCGACGGCGGUGUUUGGCACCUCGAUGUCGGCUCAUCACAUCCUGGGGCUGAAGUAGGUCCCAAGGGUAUGGCUGUUCGCCAUUUAAAGUGGUACGCGAGCUGGGUUUAGAACGUCGUGAGACAGUUCGGUCCCUAUCUGCCGUGGGCGCUGGAGAAUUGAGGGGGGCUGCUCCUAGUACGAGAGGACCGGAGUGGACGCAUCACUGGUGUUCGGGUUGUCAUGCCAAUGGCACUGCCCGGUAGCUAAAUGCGGAAGAGAUAAGUGCUGAAAGCAUCUAAGCACGAAACUUGCCCCGAGAUGAGUUCUCCCUGAGACUAUAAGUCUCCUGAAGGAACGUU